This 681-nucleotide long non-coding RNA is filed under the name Brassica napus (rape). Its description in RNAcentral is "long non-coding RNA (BNAP_LNC006797)". The record is from RNAcentral. Lineage: Eukaryota; Viridiplantae; Streptophyta; Magnoliopsida; Brassicales; Brassicaceae.
GGGAUAAGAAAAUUUUAUUAAUUUGGCGGAAAACACAAUUUUAUGGUUUUGAAGGAAAAACGUAAUUUUAUAGUUUUGACGGAAAAAUAUAAUUCUUUAAUUUUGGCAAAAAAACAUAAUUUUACAGUUUUGAUGAGAAAAUAUGAUUUUACGGAUUUGACGGCAAAACAAUUUCUUUAGCGAGAAAAUGUAGUUUUACGUUUUUGGCGAAAAAUGUAGUUUUACAGUUUUAACGGGAAAAUAUUAUUUUACAGAUUUGACGGAAAACAUAGGUUAAUAGUUUUAAAACAUAAUUUCAAUGUUUUGGAGAGAAAAAACUAUUAAUUAAUAGUUAAAAUUAUAAUAAAUACUAUUGGACGUUCAUGGAUCUGUGUUUAUGACAUUGUCUCUGGUCUUCGGAAAUAUUUUGGACGAUUGCCCAUUCUCAACCACAUUAAUGCUCAAAAUUAAAAUGGUCAAUCUGGACAAAGCUCAACUGCGCGCUAAAUGAACCAUUUAACAAAUCGCCAAUCUUGUCGCCAUGGAGCCGUCAAACCCUGUGUAAAAUCAGAUUUAGUGAAAGAAUAAUGUGUAUAUCAUGUGUAAGUACGUAUUUAUCAAAAGAGUUUUAUGUUAUUCACGAAACUAUCUUAAAAAUUUGUGAUAGAAAAUAACACUUUGGUAACACAAUAUAAACUAUUU